Long non-coding RNA from Pseudophryne corroboree (corroboree frog), 533 nucleotides. RefSeq lists it as uncharacterized. The record is from RefSeq and is a predicted model, not a curated record. Lineage: Eukaryota; Metazoa; Chordata; Amphibia; Anura; Myobatrachidae. The transcript is spliced from 3 exons.
GAAUAGCAAGGGUGUUUGUCUUAUGAAAGGGUGUUUGUCUCAUGCUAGAAGAAGGAUUCUUAGAAUAGACAAGGACUCGUGUUGUUAUUUUCAGUUUGUUAUAGACAAGGACUCGUGUUGUUAUUUUCAGUUAGAUAAGAUGUUUCAGAACCCCGGAAUGUACCCACAUAUGGAUAGAUUGUGUUUUUAGUUUUGUAUAAAGGACGGGGAAUGUUAGGGGAAUAUCGGAAUCCACCUGAGACGCUAGCAGACGUGCUGCGUGUGAAUACCGAAUUUCCCCUUGAGACGAUCGUCCUGAGAUUCCCCGAUCCAGAGUGCUCAAGUGAUGCUACAAUAUUCGAUGCACAAGCCGCCAUUGCUAAGUCAUCUCAUGAGCCAGUGGCAGGAGAGACGAAGGAAUUGGAAUCAUGGUUGCAGGGUACAGCCCUUUGGGCACACCAAAAGAGUGGACAUCUGGGAGAAAAGGCAACUUACAGAUUGUCGUGAGGCUCAGUCUUGGAAUCCUUGGAAUUGUAUUAUUGGUCGUCCCCUCU